This 173-nucleotide unclassified non-coding RNA is filed under the name uncultured Eurotiomycetes. RNAcentral's name for it is "sequence contains ITS1". Lineage: Eukaryota; Fungi; Ascomycota; Eurotiomycetes. The record is from RNAcentral.
CCGAGUUAGGGUCUCCUGGCCCGACCUCCAACCCAGUGUCUAUAUUACUGUGUUGCUUUGGUGGACCCGCCCGUACCUGGGCCGUCGGAGACCUCGUCUCUGGCCCGUGUCCGCCAGUGGCCUUCUCAAAUUCUUUCAACCGUGCCGUGACUGAAUCAAAAAAAAAAUAGUUA